This 379-nucleotide ribosomal RNA is filed under the name uncultured bacterium. RNAcentral's name for it is "bacterial SSU rRNA". It matches the Rfam family "Bacterial small subunit ribosomal RNA", at positions 28 to 411 of the family's 1533-position model. The record is from RNAcentral.
GAUGAACGCUGGCGGCGUGCUUAACACAUGCAAGUCGAACGUGAGAGGUAGCAAUAUCUUGAAAGUGGCGCACGGGUGAGUAACACGUAGGUAACCUGCCUCGGAGUGGGGGAUAACAGUUAGAAAUGACUGCUAAUACCGCAUGAAUCCAUUAAGAUGGGAAUGUUGAUGGAGAAAACUCUGGUGCUUCGAGAGGGGCCUGCGGUCGAUUAGCUAGUUGGUGGGUAACGGCCCACCAAGGCGACGAUCGAUAGCUGGUCUGAGAGGACGAUCAGCCACACGGGAACUGAGACACGGUCCCGACUCCGUACGGGGGCAGCAGUGAGGAAUAUUGGGCAAUGGGCGGAAGCCUGACCCAGCAACGCCGCGUGGAGGAAUG